RNAcentral lists this ribosomal RNA (235 nucleotides) under uncultured bacterium. Its description in RNAcentral is "partial 16S ribosomal RNA". It matches the Rfam family "Bacterial small subunit ribosomal RNA", at positions 96 to 334 of the family's 1533-position model. The record is from RNAcentral.
UGGCGGACGGGUGAGUAACGUCUGGGAAACCGCCUGAUGGAGGGGGGUAACUACUGGAAACGGUAGCUAAUACCGCAUAACGUCGCAAGACCAAAGAGGGGGACCUUCGGGCCUCUUGCCAUCGGAUGUGCCCAGAUGGGAUUAGCUAGUAGGUGGGGUAACGGCUCACCUAGGCGACGAUCCCUAGCUGGUCUGAGAGGAUGGCCAGCCACACUGGAACUGAGACACGGUCCAG